Molecule: ribosomal RNA, 445 nt
Filed under: uncultured bacterium
Lineage: Bacteria
Description: bacterial SSU rRNA
Rfam family: Bacterial small subunit ribosomal RNA
Source: RNAcentral
ACCAGACUCCUACGGGAGGCAGCAGUGGGGGAUAUUGCACAAUGGGGGGAACCCUGAUGCAGCGACGCCGCGUGGGUGAAGAAGCGCCUCGGCGCGUAAAGCCCUGUCAGCAGGGAAGAAAAUGACGGUACCUGAAGAAGAAGCCCCGGCUAACUACGUGCCAGCAGCCGCGGUAAUACGUAGGGGGCAAGCGUUAUCCGGAUUUACUGGGUGUAAAGGGGGCGCAGACGGCGAUGCAAGCCAGGAGUGAAAGCCCGGGGCCCAACCCCGGGGCUGCUCUUGGAACUGCGUGGCUGGAGUGCAGGAGGGGCAGGCGGAAUUCCUGGUGUAGCGGUGAAAUGCGUAGAUAUCAGGAGGAACACCGGUGGCGAAGGCGGCCUGCUGGACUGCAACUGACGUUGAGGCCCGAAAGCGUGGGGAGCAAACAGGAUUAGAUACCCCAGUA